Molecule: ribosomal RNA, 470 nt
Filed under: uncultured bacterium
Lineage: Bacteria
Description: bacterial SSU rRNA
Rfam family: Bacterial small subunit ribosomal RNA
Source: RNAcentral
UGGCGGCAUGCCUAAUACAUGCAAGUCGAACGGAGUUACCUUCGGGUAACUUAGUGGCGAACGGGUGAGUAACACGUAGGUAAUCCAUCCCAAGGACGAGGAUAGCUUCUGGAAACGGAAGGUAAAACUGGAUAGUUAAUUAAAGGGCAUCCUUUAGUUAUUAAAAGAGCAAUCUACCCUGGGAAGAGCCUGCGGCGCAUUAGCUAGUUGGUGAGGUAAUGGCCCACCAAGGCGAUGAUGCGUAGCCGGACUGAGAGGUCGACCGGCCACAUUGGGACUGAGACACGGCCCAGACUCCUACGGGAGGCAGCAGUAGGGAAUUUUCGGCAAUGGGCGGAAGCCUGAACCCGGAGCAAUGCCGCGUGAAUGAUGAAGUUAUUUCGGUAUGUAAAGUUCUUUUAACAGGGACGAAAAAACAAAUUGACGGUACCUGUUGAAUAAGCUCCGGCUAACUACGUGCCAGCCGCCGC